RNAcentral lists this unclassified non-coding RNA (296 nucleotides) under uncultured Agaricales. RNAcentral's name for it is "sequence contains 5.8S rRNA gene, ITS2, 28S rRNA gene". The stretch from base 1 to 52 matches the Rfam family "5.8S ribosomal RNA", at positions 103 to 154 of the family's 154-position model. The record is from RNAcentral. Lineage: Eukaryota; Fungi; Basidiomycota; Agaricomycetes; Agaricales.
AACGCACCUUGCGCUCCUUGGUAUUCCGAGGAGCAUGCCUGUUUGAGUGUCAUUAAAUCCUCAACCCACCUUUCCUUGUGAAUGAGUGGCGUUGGAUGUGGAAGUUUGCUGGCUUUACCAGUCAGCUCUUCUGAAAUGUAUUAGCAGGGCCGCUGUAUUGCGAUGCUGCCACUCGGUAUUGAUAGUUGUCUUACCAGGUGUCUGAGAUAGCAAUGUGCCCCAGCUUCUAGUUGUCUCUCUGGGACAAUAAUUGACGAUUUGACCUCAAAUCAGGUAGGACUACCCGCUGAACUUAA